This 513-nucleotide ribosomal RNA is filed under the name uncultured bacterium. RNAcentral describes it as "partial 16S ribosomal RNA". It matches the Rfam family "Bacterial small subunit ribosomal RNA", at positions 28 to 523 of the family's 1533-position model. The record is from RNAcentral.
GACGAACGCUGGCGGCAUGCCUAAUACAUGCAAGUCGAGCGAACAGAUGAAGUGCUUGCACUUCUGACGUUAGCGGCGAACGGGUGAGUAACACGUAAGGAAUCUACCUAUAAGCGGGGGAUAACAUUCGGAAACGGGUGCUAAUACCGCAUAAUAUCUUCUUCCGCAUGGAAGAAGAUUGAAAGACGGCUCUGCUGUCACUUAUAGAUGACCUUGCGGUGCAUUAGUUAGUUGGUGGGGUAACGGCCUACCAAGACGAUGAUGCAUAGCCGACCUGAGAGGGUGAUCGGCCACAUUGGGACGGAGACACGGCCCCAACUCCUACGGGAGGCAGCAGUAGGGAAUCUUCCGCAAUGGGCGAAAGCCUGACGGAGCAAUGCCGCGUGAGUGAAGAAGGCCUUCGGGUCGUAAAACUCUGUUAUAAGAGAAGAACAAAUUGUAGAGUAACUGCUACAGUCUUGACGGUAUCUUAUCAGAAAGCCACGGCUAACUACGUGCCAGCAGCCGCGGUAA